RNAcentral lists this ribosomal RNA (169 nucleotides) under uncultured bacterium. RNAcentral's name for it is "partial 16S ribosomal RNA". It matches the Rfam family "Bacterial small subunit ribosomal RNA", at positions 338 to 524 of the family's 1533-position model. The record is from RNAcentral.
CCUACGGGAGGCAGCAGUGGGGAAUAUUGCACAAUGGGGGAAACCCUGAUGCAGCGACGCCGCGUGAGUGAAGAAGUACCUCGGUAUGUAAAGCUCUAUCAGCAGGGAAGAUAAUGACAGUACCUGACUAAGAAGCCCCGGCUAACUACGUGCCAGCAGCCGCGGUAAU